AAAAGUGAUGAUAGAUGUCAUUAAGACAUUAUUUUAAGUGACUAGCUAUAUGCAAUGUUGUCUACUUGUUAACCAUCUUUCGGGACUGAUU
Molecule: small nucleolar RNA, 91 nt
Filed under: Naumovozyma dairenensis CBS 421
Lineage: Eukaryota; Fungi; Ascomycota; Saccharomycetes; Saccharomycetales; Saccharomycetaceae
Source: RNAcentral